CACGUAGGGCGCGAGCGUUGUCCGGAAUUAUUGGGCGUAAAGAGCUCGUAGGCGGCCUGUUGCGUCCGCUGUGAAAGCCCGGGGCUUAACCCCGGGUCGGCAGUGGAUACGGGCAGGCUAGAGGUAGGUAGGGGAGAAUGGAAUUCCCGGUGUAGCGGUGAAAUGCGCAGAUAUCGGGAGGAACACCGGUGGCGAAGGCGGUUCUCUGGGCCUUACCUGACGCUGAGGAGCGAAAGCGUGGGGAGCGGACAGG
RNAcentral lists this ribosomal RNA (253 nucleotides) under uncultured bacterium. RNAcentral describes it as "partial 16S ribosomal RNA". It matches the Rfam family "Bacterial small subunit ribosomal RNA", at positions 524 to 776 of the family's 1533-position model. The record is from RNAcentral.